Molecule: unclassified non-coding RNA, 241 nt
Filed under: Hevea brasiliensis (rubber tree)
Lineage: Eukaryota; Viridiplantae; Streptophyta; Magnoliopsida; Malpighiales; Euphorbiaceae
Source: RNAcentral
CAUCAGAUGUUACAUCCUGAAACAGAUCAGGAUGAUCAUGAGAUUGAGGAGGAGUUUGAUGAGGAUGUAUUGGAGGAAGAGGAUGAUGAGGACGAAGAAGAUGGAAGGGUUUUCCUAGAGCUAGAGGGUGGUGGUGUCACCGGAAUGAAUGUUUUUGACCAUAUUGAGGUUUUAAGUGGGAAUGUUCCAAACGACGCACUACGGGUAAUGCCUGUUGAUUUCUUUAGUUCUAGACGUCCAG